AUUACUCCUACGGGAGGCAGCAGCAAGGAAUUUUCCGCAAUGGGCGAAAGCCUGACGGAGCAACGCCGCGUGGGGGAGGACGCUUUUCGGAGUGUAAACCUCUUUUCUUGGGGACGACGAACGACGGUACCCGAGGAAUAAGGACCGGCUAACUACGUGCCAGCAGCCGCGGUAAUAAU
This 179-nucleotide ribosomal RNA is filed under the name uncultured bacterium. Its description in RNAcentral is "partial 16S ribosomal RNA". It matches the Rfam family "Bacterial small subunit ribosomal RNA", at positions 332 to 526 of the family's 1533-position model. The record is from RNAcentral.